This 279-nucleotide ribosomal RNA is filed under the name uncultured bacterium. RNAcentral describes it as "partial 16S ribosomal RNA". It matches the Rfam family "Bacterial small subunit ribosomal RNA", at positions 335 to 603 of the family's 1533-position model. The record is from RNAcentral.
ACUCCUACGGGAGGCAGCAGUGGGGAAUAUUGCACAAUGGGGAAACCCGUAGCAUGCAGCCAUGCCGCGUGUAUGAAGAAGGCCUUCGGGUUGUAAAGUACUUUCAGCAGUGAGGAAGGGUGGGUAUGUUAAUAGCAUACACAUUUGACGUUAGCUGCAGAAGAAGCACCGGCUAACUCCGUGCCAGCAGCCGCGGUAAUACGGAGGGUGCGAGCGUUAAUCGGAAUUACUGGGCGUAAAGCGCAUGCAGGUGGUUUGUUAAGUCAGAUGUGAAAGCCC